Molecule: ribosomal RNA, 160 nt
Filed under: uncultured bacterium
Lineage: Bacteria
Description: partial 16S ribosomal RNA
Rfam family: Bacterial small subunit ribosomal RNA
Source: RNAcentral
CCUACGGGAGGCAGCAGUGGGGAAUAUUGGGCAAUGGGCGCAAGCCUGACCCAGCAACGCCGCGUGAAGGAAGAAGGCUUUCGGGUUGUAAACUUCUUUUGUCAGGGACGAAGCAAGUGACGGUACCUGACGAAUAAGCCACGGCUAACUACGUGCCAGC